Ictidomys tridecemlineatus (thirteen-lined ground squirrel) is the source of this 109-nucleotide microRNA precursor. The record is from Ensembl. NCBI's taxonomy places the organism in Eukaryota, Metazoa, Chordata, Mammalia, Rodentia, Sciuridae.
CUGGACUGUCCCUCCAGGCGCAGGGCAGCCACUGCCCACCGCACACUGCGCUGCUCCGGACCCACUGUGCGUGUGACAGCGGCUGAUCUGUCUCUGGGCAGCGCGAAAC